RNAcentral lists this transfer RNA (93 nucleotides) under Oceanomicrobium pacificus. RNAcentral describes it as "Rhodobacteraceae bacterium KN286 tRNA-OTHER". The stretch from base 23 to 82 matches the Rfam family "tRNA", at positions 10 to 63 of the family's 71-position model. Rfam says of the family: Transfer RNA (tRNA) molecules are approximately 80 nucleotides in length. Their secondary structure includes four short double-helical elements and three loops (D, anti-codon, and T loops). Further hydrogen bonds mediate the characteristic L-shaped molecular structure. tRNAs have two regions of fundamental functional importance: the anti-codon, which is responsible for specific mRNA codon recognition, and the 3' end, to which the tRNAs corresponding amino acid is attached (by aminoacyl-tRNA synthetases). tRNAs cope with the degeneracy of the genetic code in two manners: having more than one tRNA (with a specific anti-codon) for a particular amino acid; and 'wobble' base-pairing, i.e. permitting non-standard base-pairing at the 3rd anti-codon position. The record is from RNAcentral. Lineage: Bacteria; Pseudomonadati; Pseudomonadota; Alphaproteobacteria; Rhodobacterales; Paracoccaceae.
CGCGGGCGUGAGCGGGUACGACGGUAAGUGUGGUGCUUGGCCUUCAGGCUCAUAACCUGAAGGUCGCAGGUUCAAAUCCUGCUCCCGCAACCA